RNAcentral lists this ribosomal RNA (792 nucleotides) under uncultured marine bacterium. RNAcentral describes it as "bacterial SSU rRNA". It matches the Rfam family "Bacterial small subunit ribosomal RNA", at positions 89 to 917 of the family's 1533-position model. The record is from RNAcentral.
UACUGAGUGGCAAACGGGUGAGUAUAAUGUGGGAAUCUGCCUUUUGGUUUGGAAUAACACGGGGAAACUUGUGCUAAUACCGAAUAAGCCCUUACGGGGAAAGUUUUAACGCCGAAAGAUGAGCCCGCACUUGAUUAGCUAGUUGGUAAGGUAAAAGCUUACCAAGGCAAUGAUCAAUAGCUGUUCUUAGAGGAAGACCAGCCACAUUGGGACUGAGACACGGCCCAGACUCCUACGGGAGGCAGCAGUGGGGAAUCUUGCACAAUGGGGGAAACCCUGAUGCAGCGAUGCCGCGUGAGUGAAGAAGGCCUUUGGGUUGUAAAACUCUUUCGUCGGGGAAGAAAAUGACUGUACCCGAAUAAGAAGGUCCGGCUAACUUCGUGCCAGCAGCCGCGGUAAUACGAAGGGACCUAGCGUAGUUCGGAAUUACUGGGCUUAAAGAGCUCGUAGGUGGUUAAAAAAGUUGAUGGUGAAAUCCCAAGGCUCAACCUUGGAACUGCCAUCAAAACUUUUUAGCUAGAGUGUGAUAGAGGUAAGUGGAAUUUCUAGUGUAGAGGUGAAAUUCGUAGAUAUUAGAAAGAACACCAAAUGCGAAGGCAACUUACUGGGUCACUACUGACACUGAGGAGCGAAAGCAUGGGUAGCGAAGAGGAUUAGAUACCCUCGUAGUCCAUGCCGUAAACGAUGUGUGCUAGACGUUGGAAAUAUAUUUUUCAGUGUCGCAGCGGAAAGCAUUAAGCACACCGCCUGGGGAGUACGACCGCCAGGUUAAAACUCAAAUGAAUUGACGGG